RNAcentral lists this ribosomal RNA (571 nucleotides) under uncultured bacterium. RNAcentral describes it as "partial 16S ribosomal RNA". It matches the Rfam family "Bacterial small subunit ribosomal RNA", at positions 355 to 919 of the family's 1533-position model. The record is from RNAcentral.
UGGGGAAUUUUGGACAAUGGGGGAAACCCUGAUCCAGCCAUCCCGCGUGUGCGAUGAAGGCCUUCGGGUUGUAAAGCACUUUUGGCAGGAAAGAAACGUCGCGGGUUAAUACCCCGCGGAACUGACGGUACCUGCAGAAUAAGCACCGGCUAACUACGUGCCAGCAGCCGCGGUAAUACGUAGGGUGCAAGCGUUAAUCGGAAUUACUGGGCGUAAAGCGUGCGCAGGCGGUUCGGAAAGAAAGAUGUGAAAUCCCAGAGCUUAACUUUGGAACUGCAUUUUUAACUACCGGGCUAGAGUGUGUCAGAGGGAGGUGGAAUUCCGCGUGUAGCAGUGAAAUGCGUAGAUAUGCGGAGGAACACCGAUGGCGAAGGCAGCCUCCUGGGAUAACACUGACGCUCAUGCACGAAAGCGUGGGGAGCAAACAGGAUUAGAUACCCUGGUAGUCCACGCCCUAAACGAUGUCAACUAGCUGUUGGGGUCUUCGGACCUUGGUAGCGCAGCUAACGCGUGAAGUUGACCGCCUGGGGAGUACGGUCGCAAGAUUAAAACUUAAAUGAAUUGACGGGGU